Molecule: small nucleolar RNA, 76 nt
Filed under: Morus notabilis
Lineage: Eukaryota; Viridiplantae; Streptophyta; Magnoliopsida; Rosales; Moraceae
Description: Small nucleolar RNA R66
Rfam family: Small nucleolar RNA R66
About the family: snoR66 is a C/D box small nucleolar RNA, which acts as a methylation guide for 18S ribosomal RNA in plants. snoR66 has been alternatively named snoZ269 in rice.
Source: Rfam by way of RNAcentral
UCCUAUGAUGGCAUGGAAUCUUUGAGACCUGAUUCUCUGAUUUGAUGAAAACUACAAGCAUUAAAAAAAAAAAGAU